AGAGCAAACUUGAAGGUAUGGAUAAGGCCCUGAGUCAUCUUCCUGAGCUGAAUGAUAGUUAAGCUGAAUGUACGUAUAAAAUAUGAUUUUCUAACCACUUGCUCGCCAACAAGGAAAACUUUUAAGUAGAGCAGAACCUGAAUAGACAAGACAUUUCUUUCUUUUGGUAGAAAAUGAUUUACCAUUACUGUCUAGUUAAUUGUAGACUAGGUAAUUUUAACUUUGUGAUUUAUUGCCGGAGACAUUUUCUUCUGUACUGUAAAGUGUGUGUCAAAAAAAAAUAGCGAUUUUGGAGGAUUAGAGGAGUUUGAUAAAUUGCCUGCAAUUCUGGCAGUAUGAACUGCAUAUUAAUUUCUCUCUUUCAAGAACAUUUUUAUUUAUUAAUUCCUUACAAAAACUCCCUAAACUUUGGAACAGCUCUCAAUUGCCUGUAUUCUUUUUUUUCUUAUUAUGAUACUCUUCUAGAGAUUUGGCUUGCAUCUAUGAAUAAGCCAGGACAUCUUCAGAAAUUGUCUGAUUAAAAACACCACCAAUGGAGUUUCAUUAAAUUUGUAUUGCUCUGACUAGUGAAACACACACAUCUAUGUUGCUGAGGAUAUUUUACUGCAGUUUUAGUUGUAAUAAUAGCUCUGUUUAAGAUCCGUCAGUCACUUGAAUCUUCUCUAAGGCUUUGUAUGUUAGAAGUUAAUUUGCUUUCUUACAAGGCCACAUUCUAUCUUGUAACUAAACAACUGAAUUUUAUGUCUUAGCGUAGAUGGUUUAUUACUUUCUGGUUUUUCUUUAGUAAGAAUCCUAUAAAAACACUAGUAUUUUUCUCUGAGUUUAAAAUUCAACACAUGCCUACUGAUAUGAUUAGGCUUUGUAUCCCCACCUGAAUCUCAUCUUGAAUUGUAAUCCCCAUAGCCCCCAUAAUCCCCGCAGGUCAAGGGAGAGACCAGGUGGAGGUAAUUGAAUCAUGGGGGCAGUUUCUCCUGUGCUGUUCUUGUGAUAGUGAGUUCUCACGAGAUUUGAUGGUUUUAUAAGGGAUUCUUUCCCCUUUGCUCGGCACUUCUUCAUGCUGCCUUGCGAAGAAGCUGGCUUGCUUCCUCUUUGUCUUCCGGCAUGAUUGUAGAUUUCCUGAGGCCUCCCAAGCGGUGCUGAACUACCAAACCAAUGCAGACCAAACCAAUGCAGAACUCCUAUGUGCUGAUGGUGGUCUUACGUUUCCCUAAGUUUCUGCCGACUAAACUGUGCACACGUUCUCAGGACCUCCUGAAGCUGCGUCACAGGCACUAAUCAAAGAACACAACCAAGAGUUUGGCCUUUUCUUCAGCACUGGGAAUUGUGAUCCAAAGCUUUCCCGGAUGAAGCACAAAGUUGGAGAAACAAAACGCAAACUAAACAACAACAAUGAAACAGAACAGAGUUAAUCUGCUGUAGCUCAAGAGAGGACGUACCUGCCCCCACCCCGCAUCCCUGGGCUCGGGUUUGCCUUGCUGACCUCUGCUGCCACCUGGUGCCACACAGAGAAACUGUGGAGAAACCACAUCAGUCUCCUUCAGCCUCAGCUUCACAUCUGUGGGUCAAGUAACCCUUUCAGAAGCUGUAUAAUGUGGGAAAGCUUUCCUCUCAGGAAAAUGCACACAUCUAACUUUGAGAAGAUGCCCUUGGGGGCGCUUCAAGGAUCCUAGAUAAAGAACCCCCUUUCCCGAACAUCC
This is a long non-coding RNA of Pan troglodytes (chimpanzee), 1697 nucleotides long. RefSeq lists it as uncharacterized. The record is from RefSeq and is a predicted model, not a curated record. The transcript is spliced from 3 exons. NCBI's taxonomy places the organism in Eukaryota, Metazoa, Chordata, Mammalia, Primates, Hominidae.